Molecule: long non-coding RNA, 4891 nt
Filed under: Sus scrofa (pig)
Lineage: Eukaryota; Metazoa; Chordata; Mammalia; Artiodactyla; Suidae
Description: lncRNA (ENSSSCG00030065966.1)
Source: RNAcentral
UUUUUUUUUUUUUGUAUUCUAGGACAACAAUUGAAGAUAGCAGAGAACGUGUACAGAGACACCUGCCCUAUAAGUGCCCAGGGAACAGCAGGACCUGCAGAGUAGAAGAGACAGCCUCCUAGGAGAACCUUAGAGACAGCAGGGACCAAGACAGAUGGGCUCCACACAGCAAGGGCAUUGUAAGUUCCAGGGCUCUAAAAACAUAGAGAACCAUUCACCCCUCAUAUAGAGAACUCCUUUUUAGAAAUAAAAUAACAAAAUAGAGAAGCCCCAGUUAACAGAUUGAGAAAGAAUUUCACCACAAUGAACAACAAUUAACACCAGAGGCUUUAUGAGAAAAUUUUCCAGGGGCGUCACUAAUAUUCCUAGAGAAAACAGAAUUGAGCCAUGAGAAAGUCAUGCAGUCAAGAAUAAGCUCAGACAUCACACUUUUCUUUGCUUUUGACCAUGGGGCAUCAUUAGCUCCUUGCCAUGGCAUCAACAGUAGGGGAAGCAGGAGAUAUUUGAAGGGACUCACUGUUAUCACAGAGCAAAAGUCCACCUGCACUGGCCUUGCAUUUGUGUAGCAACAAUGGGAGAGAGUGAGAGGACAGGUGUGCUCAGUCCGAGCCACUGUCCCCAUGGGUCCUUUAUCUGAGUGUCGGAUGAGGGUGCUGUCCAGUGGGCUGAAACAAGAAUAACCAAAUAAGGAAGCUCUAGAACAAAAUGAGGAAUGGUGGUGUGCCAGAGUCUCCAGGCUAGAGAUUCUUAGCACCAAAAUACUCAGUUUAUCCCCAAGAAGGAGACUGUGCCAGAAGGGAUUUAUUCUAGUCCUUUGCUUGGUAUUAGUUCAUGAGCUCACGUCCUUGGAGGCAUGCGGCAGAGACUGGCUCUGUCUCAUUUAAGCAACACAGAAGUGUUGGAGGGUCUGCCGCUUAGUGAACAGGGUGGCACCUGUGUGGAUAUCUGUGCCCGGGGCUUUGGAGAUACUGGCACCAGGGCUCCUCCACCAGCCCUGGAACAGCACUGGAGAUCCUGAAGACCAUUACUCAAGGCUGCUGGUUGACAAGCAGGUUGACCUUAAAGGUCUUUGCGGGGAUCUAGACUACACGAUAGAACAGGCUAUCUCUAGGCUGUAGAUGUCUGAUUUUGAUUUUGUGCAUAAGGAGCCUACCAUGCUAUGGGUGUCCCUCCUGGCCACAUCCCAGCUAAGGUAACUUUGACCCUUCACACAAUUCCCUUCUGAACCUCAUUUCUUAUCCCUCCCAGCUAAACAGCCCACUAUUUACAGAGCCAACAAAAAAUGCGAACAAUAAGAUGUGGCAGGGCCUGGAUGGCAGGAAUUGAUGCAGCCUGUGCUCAGCUCAGAGCAGUGCCAUGGCCCCCAGCCUUUGCCUCAUUCAAACGAAAGCCAAGGACAUAGAGGAAGACCAGGCCACAGAGUCUCUCUGACGAGGAGGCUGCCUCUCAAAGGGCAGGGAGACGAAUCAGGGACAAUUGUCAAUAGCACCUAAUUGUGAUUUGCUCCAAUUUUCCCAGUAAUAGUUACUCUGCAGUGCACUGCUAGCUCCAGCAAUGAAUAUUUAACAAGAAAAUAUGUCAUCAGAACAAGCCCCCACAGCAAAGGAAUUAAUAUUAAUGGGACGAAAAUUGAGCCUCCUUUUGAACUCUUGGAGAAGACUGAAAAGGUAGUGAUUAUUAAAGAACUCAGCCAGUCUCAAAACUGACCUUGACCUGGGCAGGGCUCAGCAGGAACCCAGAGAAAAGCCAUUAAAUAUUCAGCAUGGGUCUCCCUCCAGCCCUAUUUGGGGCCUAGACCUCCUGACACCUUGCAUUUCAAAGCCAAUCUGCAUAGAGGCUGACGGGGGCCUUGGAAGAGAGCAGGGAGCCAAGAGGAGAGCAGGUGAACGAGGUUGCCCUGGGCCCCAGAGCUGGAUUAGGACCAGAUGGAGCUGGGGUCACUCCACGCCCUCCUUGGAGGGCUCACCCACUUCUGCGGGCUGUAAUUAGGAGCACAGCCCACAUUUCUUAACAACAAGCCCAGAUCUUUACAAACCUCCAGAACAGACCUCGGCACAAGGUGGAUGCGAAGUAAAGAUGAGAUCACUUCUGGACCUCUCAACACUUCUGCCAAAGGAAGGAAGGAAUGGGUGGAGGAGCCGUGCGCUCACCUCCUGUGGGAACAUCCAGGCCGCCCCCCUGGCACCAUUGGUGUUGGAUCUUCUCCAUCCCGCAAGUGGCACUUGGAUUUGUCCACCUCAAGUUCGGGUGAAGGGAGCCUCAGUCAAGGAGAAUCUGACGGAUUUGAUCUUGUCAAUCGGUAGGCGCUCAGCAAACGAGCGUGUACACCUUCACUUACUUCUUCUUUUGAUAAAUGUUUUCUGGAUACCUAACAUACGCAACUGCUGGUCUAGUCUUCAAAUACACCAAAAGCAUUUCCUUCAUAAUGUCUCCUCUUUCUAGGGAAUUAGAUGGAUGGAGGGUUAGCUGGAGGACAAAGGAAAGCCAGGGGAGAUUCUUUACAGGAUAAAGAAACAAAUCAUGCUUAUAUGCCAUUGGAAAUAAGACGAUCGAGGGGGGGAACUGAGAGUAUCGGAGUUAGAGUGGAGGAUGUCUGGAAAAUAACAUCCCUGAGGAGGUGAGGGGAUGGGGUUCUAAAGAACAAGGGAGGAGGUGUCCUUGGAUGGAUACGUAAAAAGAUAAUCCUCAGUUGGAUGGGUGAGUGAAUGUGGGAGUGGAUGGAUGGUUAAAAGGAUUAAUAAAUGAAUAGCCCGGUGAGUGGAAGAAUGGAUGGAUGGAAGGAUUAAUGAAUGGAUGGAUGGAUGGAUGGAUGGAUGGAUGGAUGGAUGGAUGGUUGGAUCGUGACUGGUUGAAGAGGAUGGAUGGAUGGGUAGGUCGAUGGGUGAGUGAGAGGAUGGAUGGGUGGAGGGAUGGGUAGAAGGAUUAAUGAUCAGAUAGGUGGAUAGGUGGGUGGAUGGAUGGAAGAAUGGGUGGUUGGAUUGUGACUGGUUGAAGAGCAUGGAUGGAUGGGUGAGUGAGAGGAUGGAUGCGUGGAGGGAUGGGUAGAAGGAUUAAUGAUCAGAUAGGUGGAUAGGUGGGUGGAUGGAUGAAAGAAUGGGUGGUUGGAUGGGCAGGUGGUUGGGGAAGGAUGGAUGAGCAGGUGGGUGGAUGGUGUGUGAGUGAAAGGGUGUAUGGGUGGAUGGAUAGAAGGAUUAAUGAUCGGAUGGUUGGGUGGGUAGGUGGAUCGAUGGAUGAGUAGGUAUGUGAAUGAAUGGAUGGGUGGAUGGGUGGGUGGUUGGUGAAGGAUGGGCGGGUGGGUGGAUGAGUGGAUGGAUGUUGGAUAGACUGAUGGGUGGGUGAUGGAUAGUGAUGUACUUUGAAUGGAUUAAUAAGUAUUCAUUCAUUUGGGUGGGUUCUAGGAGCUUAGUUAUAACCUUUCACCCCAAAAUCUCAAGGAUCUAAAACCUAGAAGGACUGACAAAAUUUAGCUGAAGACACCUGAGAAGCUGACAGGGACAAAGGGGUCAGGCAUCGACCCCUAGAGAUGCACUGGUGAUGUCAGCCGUGAAUUAAAGAAUGAGACCCUCCUACACUGCUGCUCUUCUCUCACUGCUCAGAAAUUACCUUUCUAGAAUACCAACUUAAUCAUAUCGCUUCCCUGCAUGAAAUCCCUCCCUGGCUUCCCUUUGCCCUUAGGAUAAAACACAGAAUUCUUACUGCGACCUACAAAUCUCACUGUCCCAGCUUCUUCUCCACGGGUUUGGAAUGGUGACUACAGCCUAAGGAUCCGCCCCAAAGCCUGGUAGGUGGAAAGAACAACAACCUCAUUUCUUACGGAGCCUCUGAGCCAGGUGGGUGGUUCUAAUGAGGGCCAGGCCUGGGUUCACACAGGCAUCUGGGUCAGUUGGCAGGCCAGCUGGGGACUGGCUGGCGUAGGAUGGCUUUGGCUUGCGGAACCGGCCUCUGCCUGGGCUUGUUCCCAGGGCUGUGGUGGAAUUGAGGGAGACAGACAGACAACAGAGAGAGAGAUGAGAGCAAGAGGGGGAAGCCCAGCGGCUUCUUGAGCUGUGGUCACUUUCUCCACACGCGGACAGCCAAGCAAGGCCCAAAUGCAGAGGUGUGGGCACGAAGGAAACAGACUCCAGCUGCAGAAGAGAGACGCCGCAAAAUCAGAGUGACACAGCUGUGCUUGCAGGGAAUGUGGGGACAGACGGCGUGUCCACCAGCAGCGUCGCAGGCCACUCUCGGCACCUGCACCCCUGCCUUCUGCCUCUCCUUCUGCCUCAGCACCACAGAGCAUAGCCCUGCGCCUAGAAGGCUCUUCCACACCAACACACCCCCCUCCCGGGGCCAACUCUCACUCAGCCCUCAGGCCAUGGUGGGCCGUCACUUCCUCGGGGAGGCUCCUGAGGCCUCGCUUGGUCCAGAGGCGUCCCGGGGGCCUUCCUUAGAGAGCAAGACAGAGAGCCUGGCGUCAUUCCUCUCGAAGGCUGACUGACGUGCCUAAUCGCACACUCCGUGUCUGUCCAGCAGAGUGUAAGCUCGACCGGGGACGGGUCCCUGUGGGUCUUGGCCCAGCUCUCAAGGCAACGUCUGACACAGAAGAGCUCAAUAACUUUUUACUACCGUCGCGUGAAUCAGUAAGGGCGCCUCUUAGCACCGUAGAGGAUAAACCGUCUUCCUCUUUCCGUCGGUGACUCGCACGCUCUUUUUAUCUUUACGCUCCCAAAGCCGUCCUUCUCGGAGAAAGCGAGACAUUUCAGCGUGAUCUCUUUGUCAGGGUAUCUCGUUCAAACCGACUCUGCUGGGCUGUCCGUCUGCCAUCCCCCUGCACUAAAACCCCUGGGAGGAGACACUGUGGGCAGCGGCGGGAACAGGCCUUGGAAUCUGCAUCCUGGGGCCUAAAUGCAGG